UACGAACAGGCCAAACGUUAUUCGGAAUCAUUGGGCUUAAAGAGUGCGUAGGCGGCGCCGUAAGUCGGGUGUGAAAUCCCUCGGCUCAACCGAGGAACUGCGCCCGAUACUGCGGCGCUCGAGGGAGACAGGGGUGAGCGGAACUGAUGGUGGAGCGGUGAAAUGCGUUGAUAUCAUCAGGAACACCGGUGGCGAAAGCGGCUCACUGGGUCUCUUCUGACGCUGAGGCACGAAAGCUAGGGUAGCGAACGGG
RNAcentral lists this ribosomal RNA (253 nucleotides) under uncultured bacterium. Its description in RNAcentral is "partial 16S ribosomal RNA". It matches the Rfam family "Bacterial small subunit ribosomal RNA", at positions 524 to 776 of the family's 1533-position model. The record is from RNAcentral.